Molecule: ribosomal RNA, 937 nt
Filed under: uncultured bacterium
Lineage: Bacteria
Description: bacterial SSU rRNA
Rfam family: Bacterial small subunit ribosomal RNA
Source: RNAcentral
GAGUUUGAUCCUGGCUCAGGAUGAACGCUGGCGGCGUGCUUAACACAUGCAAGUCGAACGAUGACCCCGUGCUUGCACGGGUGAUUAGUGGCGAACGGGUGAGUAACACGUGAGUAGCCUGCCCCUGACUCUGGGAUAAGCCCGGGAAACUGGGUCUAAUACCGGAUAUGACUGCUGGCCGCAUGGCCUGGUGGUGGAAAGAAUUUCGGUUGGGGAUGGACUCGCGGCCUAUCAGCUUGUUGGUGAGGUAGUGGCUCACCAAGGCGACGACGGGUAGCCGGCCUGAGAGGGUGACCGGCCACACUGGGACUGAGACACGGCCCAGACUCCUACGGGAGGCAGCAGUGGGGAAUAUUGCACAAUGGGCGCAAGCCUGAUGCAGCGACGCCGCGUGAGGGAUGACGGCCUUCGGGUUGUAAACCUCUUUCAGUAGGGAAGAAGCGAAAGUGACGGUACCUGCAGAAGAAGCGCCCGGCUAACUACGUGCCAGCAGCCGCGGUAAUACGUAGGGCGCAAGCGUUAUCCGGAUUUAUUGGGCGUAAAGAGCUCGUAGGCGGUUUGUCGCGUCUGCCGUGAAAGUCCGGGGCUUAACCCCGGAUCUGCGGUGGGUACGGGCAGACUAGAGUGAUGUAGGGGAGACUGGAAUUCCUGGUGUAGCGGUGAAAUGCGCAGAUAUCAGGAGGAACACCGAUGGCGAAAGCAGGUCUCUGGGCAUUAACUGACGCUGAAGAGCGAAAGCAUGGGGAGCGAACAGGAUUAGAUACCCUGGUAGUCCAUGCCGUAAACGUUGGGCACUAGGUGUGGGGAACAUUCCACGUUUUCCGCGCCGUAACUAACGCAUUAAGUGCUCCGCCUGGGGAGUACGGCCGCAAGGCUAAAACUCAAAGGAAUUGACGGGGGCCCGCACAAGCGGCGGAGCAUGCGGAUUAAUUCGUGC